RNAcentral lists this ribosomal RNA (232 nucleotides) under uncultured bacterium. RNAcentral's name for it is "partial 16S ribosomal RNA". It matches the Rfam family "Bacterial small subunit ribosomal RNA", at positions 100 to 334 of the family's 1533-position model. The record is from RNAcentral.
CGGGACGGGUGAGUAAUGUCUGGGAAACUGCCUGAUGGAGGGGGGUAACUACUGGAAACGGUAGCUAAUACCGCAUAACGUCGCAAGACCAAAGAGGGGGACUUCGGGCCUCUUGCCAUCGGAUGUGCCCAGAUGGGAUUAGCUAGUAGGUGGGGUAACGGCUCACCUAGGCGACGAUCCCUAGCUGGUCUGAGAGGAUGACCAGCCACACUGGAACUGAGACACGGUCCAG